Molecule: long non-coding RNA, 235 nt
Organism: Wasmannia auropunctata (little fire ant)
Lineage: Eukaryota; Metazoa; Arthropoda; Insecta; Hymenoptera; Formicidae
Exons: 3
Source: RefSeq, a predicted model, not a curated record
UACGGAGAGGAGACUUUAUCAUGAACGCACUAAUGAUCGAUUUUUAAAAAACUUUGAUAAUGACACAUCGGCUGAAGCAGACGAGAUAGAAACGAUGGGAAUACGAAAGAAACGGCUUGCAUUGUUGGAUCUUCUAAUAGCAGCAUCUCGAGAGGGUCUUUUGACUGAUUUAGAUAUUAGAGAGGAAGUCAAUACUUUUAUGUUUGCGGGUCAUGACACUACAGCGAUGGGUAUA